Molecule: RNA transcript, 4866 nt
Organism: Cephus cinctus (wheat stem sawfly)
Lineage: Eukaryota; Metazoa; Arthropoda; Insecta; Hymenoptera; Cephidae
Exons: 7
Source: RefSeq, a predicted model, not a curated record
CGUCGCUGUUCGGCACAAAAUGGCAAACGUCGAUCGACCUAAGACUUUUCAUUGUUGGUUUGGCCUUUAAGACCGUGAGUGACAGUUGAAGUUAACGGCGUGUUUCUAUGCGUGUAACGGAUGCGGCGGCAGACGCGGGCGACAGUCUUGAAAUUUCACGAGAAGACAAGAGGGCCAGUGGGUCAGGUCCGGCGAGCGUUGGUACCCUUGGCCGACGGCCAUCUUUCUUGGCCGCUUAAAAAAGCGUCUCCGCAUCGAGCUGUCUAGACUGGAUGGCGGUGGUCCUGACUAUUCUAAUUGAUUUAUUAGAACCAAUGGAUUCUUUGUUGAUAUCGACUCGGUGUCAUUACGGGUUGUACGUCUUGGUAGAAUUAACACUCCCGUCGCCGGUUUAACCUUAUGGUGCACCCUUGUCGUUACAAAAGUUUUAUACCGACGGCGUAUGUUGAGGAUCGAAAAAACUAAGCAUGGAACUAUAUAGGUAUAAUAAGUUAUUGGCAAUGCAAACGAAUUCGUAUUAUAUCAAGAGACCGAUUACCGAAUGUCAAUCAAGAUAAGCGCAUCGGUUGCAUCUCGUGUUUUGCAGGGAAUUCUGCACGACUGGGAAAUCACACGCUUAGUCAUGUAACUUCUUAUUGUACUAGUCGUAGGACGCAUCGAGCGUUGCACCUGAACGGGAAACCUUUCCAGGUCAGAUCAUUUGUUACUCGACCUGUUCGCAACUGUAAACGUGGACCGCAACACUGGUGCAUGUGCAAUUAGCACCGACCAUUUCAGGCGGAUAUGCGCAGCGUGUGCAAAUUGUCUGUACAAGGGAUUGAUCUGCGUUGAAACCUGACAAGCAGAUAAUGAAGUUCGAUGUAAUCCUUAAGGAAUGCGCUAAUUACGUGCCACAGUGCUAAAGUAAGAAUCGCUUAUUGCAAAACUCGAUUUCUGGAUCUUAGCAUAAAUUAAAAAGAAACAUUCACAGUCGGAUAUUCAUUUCUCGUCAUCUUUCAAGUGAAACAAGUAAAAUCCUCAUUGACAAGAAUUUCGGAUUCCUUUGUUGGAACAUCAUAAGGCUGAUGGUCGCUGCCGAAAGGAGUCCCUGGUUCUUGUCGUACUAAGGUACGAUUUAAAUAGGAGCUAAGUGUUUUACUGAAAUGGAGGAAGUAGAUGUGUGCCCGUGUGUGUACACUAAAUACAGUUGUACAUAUGUUUGCCAAUUGAUAUUGAAAAUAUAAUUAAAAAACGUCCAAGGAAUAAUGACGUUGAAUAUUUUCGAUAAUGAUUCACGGCCGGAGAAACAAAUCAUGGAAGAAACAAAUUGUUGAGGCCCAACGUGUGAUAAUGAUAAAUCUGCAUGGGGGCUUCGGGUACCAUCGGCGAACAAUGCAAACUACGUCAGAAGAUCCAAACAGAUUCUAAAUAUAUAUCUACAAACGACUGCCGUUCCAAGAAAUCAAAAAGGACUCAACUUAAUGCGCAAUAUAUAAAAAGAACAAUGGAUCUUCCAUGAAUAGAAAAAAAGGAGAAGAGAAUUUCCAAAAACAUGGAAAAAAUAAUUCCGCGUACGAUCGCAGACAUUGCUAACUCCUUUAAAUUGACCUUAUUCAAAGAGACAUAUAAAGAAAAUUGAUUUCUUUGAUGCUCGCUGCCGUGCGAAUUAUUUUCGUCAUGCAAUGUUAUUACUAAAAAUAACCUUAAAAGAAAAUGGCUUGCAAAAGUCACGCAUAGGUGGAGAUAAUUUAUGGUGCCUUAUACUCAUCCGUUUCACCUAAAGGUGUCCUUCGAUAAAAUCGAUCAGAGUUCGUUGACUUUGCUAAACGCGCAUUGCACGACUGAUAGGCAGCCAUUUGCCCGCGACACGCAGCGCAGGAUGAUGAAACUUUUUCUCUGGGCGUAGUUUCUGCCUUCCGCCGUAUAUAUCGAGGAGAUAUUCCGUCCUUGCAUCAUUGUUUGGGAGACCUCCGACAGGAGAGACAUGGAUUUUGUCAGCUGAGUCUAAAGAGAGAAGAAAAAACUGGACUGACUAAUUUGCUCGGCCAAUUCUUUCAUCCGACUACUGGAAAUCAUUUGAAUUUCGAAACGAGUCAGCAGGAUAACCCCGAGCGUUAUCGUACGACACUCUGCUGAGUUAAUGCAACACGGUCUUGCAGGGGAAAAUACUGUGACCUUUGACAUUCGGUGAUCUUCGCGGGGGAUCAUCUGGACUAUUGACACCAUUGCAGUCGUAUCAUAUGCAUAAUGGCAUCAUGUGCUCUGAGUUGUAAACACAUUGGGUACUAGAUUACCUGCAAAUGUAUUUUUUUCUCCUUUAGAUGUUUCCUCGUUUCCAGUUAUCAUAACUUAUUAAGGAAUCAGUGGCUGAACGGGUGCUAAACGAUAGCGAGACGAUAAUUUAAUAUUUUUUUAAUUAUACAUUUCAGAAAUUUUUCUCUUUUCUGGUUAUUGUCACCCUCGAGGGGAUCAUGAGCUAGACAGUUGCUAAUUAUUGAUUUCAGAAUUUUUCCUCAUUUCUGGUUAUCAUGACUCUCUAGGGUAUCAGUGACUAGACGUUUACUGAAGCGCGGAUAGUCAAAUAUAUGUAUAAGGAAAUUUCCAUUCUGACUGAAGUCAGUUUCCACAGUUAUUUUUUGAUAUUGGACGAUUUCGAAGAAGGCAUAAUUCAUUAAGGUCACUAAUCGCUUCUCAUCACUUUAUUAUUUUUAGAUCCACUCACAGAUUGUCUUCUAUUUUCUAUUUUAUUUUAUAAACGUGUCGACCAAACUUCUUUAUAAUUCGAUAAUACACGUUCCUUCUAUUUCAUCAUUUACAUCCAGUCUCAAUAAUUUCCAACGUUCUAUAUAUCAUUUUCUCACUCCAUUACCAUUCAUAAGCUGAUACUGUCAUCGUCUGUCAUAUCACAAGAUUUAUUUUACCUAUAGAAGUCAGUGUACCAACCAAGUCACUUGCCUAUGGCUAUUCACCUAUAUGGCUACAUUAGGUAUAUGGAAACAUGCCACAUUAUAUAUAUAUUGUACACACUGAAUAUACAUAUGUCUGACAGAAUAACUUGCAUAUACAUAUAUAUAUAUUUGCAACAAUAAGGUCUCCAUAAUUUUUCAUUCAUCUCAAAUGUUGACCUCGAUUAAUAAAAAAAAAUGUAACCAGUCAACUUUCACCAGCCGGUUCAGUGUCAUAAAACUACUUUUUUUUCUUGGUCGUAAAAGUCACCAUUGCAGUUAUUACGUAUGAUGGUACAAAAACAUGGAAAAUUAAAAUAAAAAAAAAUUCAUUGUGAACUUGCGGCUAUGCGGAACUCUUAAUUUUGUGAGAUUAUAUCAUUAACGCUUGACCUCGAAAAUCAGCUGGCUAUCGUGAUUAAAUCGAAAAUUAAAAAAAAGACACCUUCCGCAUUUUCUCUAACAGUGUAGUUUCGUUAAAAAAAAACAGCCAUCGAAAUCAGUGAGUCACUUUAUGCGUCAAUCGUAUCCUUCGUUGCCCAAUAGAGAUCAAUACCGUUCAGGUAUUUAAAUUUUGAUGAUUAACAGCCGGUAUGUAUUUGAAACCUGUUACAGUUUAAUUGGAAAACAAUGACUUUCAUCAAACAUAUGGUGCACCAUUGCGACAUUGGAAUGUGUCGGAUUACCAAAUUAAUGUUUUCCCAGAAUAAUUUUCUGGAAAGGACAAGGAACGAAGAUUUUAUUGAAAUCACUGGAGAAAUCAUAGUUGGCCCAUCAAUAAGGUUCACUCAUUUAUAUGCUGCUUAAAAAUCUUCAACGUCACUAUUUGAGUGGUUACCAUGACAUUCUAAUCAAUGAUCCUGGACAGGAGGGAGAAGUUAAGAGUCACUGAUAACAACCUUCUUUAAUGGUCGGCGUGAUAGAUAACAGGCAUUAACGAAACGAAAUUAGACGAAACGAGGAUCCCGUAUGUGAAAUUAUAUUAGAAGAAGCCAUCGGCAUCGUGACAGGAAGAUUGCAAUGUAAAUUCUAGUCAGCCAACUUUGAAUUACUUGAAUCGUUGACAAACGUCGGAGAAGGAUUUUACAUUUAAAAAUAAUCGUUUCCGCAAAGAAUUGCGUGUCAGUUUCGACGUCAGAAGAAAAAGAACUAUCGCCACUUUCAUCUUGGAGCAGACUGAGAAGUACACGCCGAAGAUUUAAACUGCUUAUGCUAUUGCACUUCCGAGUUAUCUUUUUUAAAUCAAGAAAAUAAUAGCAAUAGCUAUUAUUCAAUAGAGAAAGCAUUCAUUCAAUAGAGAAAGAUACCAGUUAAAGUAAUUCUUGGAGUAAUCGUGAUUUUUGGUCUUUUGUGCUUUAAUACUGUAUUUAUUUUAAAUAUAUAUAUUUUUUAAGCAGCGACAUAAAUAUCGAAAUGAAAUUAGUUACUGAACUGCUGGAUAAGGAAACCGGAACUCUUACUGCCUCCAAUAUAUAACCGUUGAAGCCGAUUAGAUUUCAUGGUAGACAUGAAAUGAAACGAAGCUUGAAAUAAACUAGAUUGCGUGUAAAGUAAAGCUGCAAUGAAAAUGCAUUAUUUGAUAGACUACAGGCCAUUUAUAUUUUGCAUGCGGAAUAGUAUUAUCUUUGCCAAGUAAUCCAUUGAACGGAACGGAUUUACAAAUGAUAAAGCUGUUUAACCAACUGUCAGAUGUCAAUUUUGCAUUACGUAUGUCCCACAUGCAUUUUCCGUGUUAUCCUCAAAAUUAUUUCUUUGAAGAUGCACACAUUUGAACGUCACUGUCUACAUUUUAAAUGCCAUUGAAUCCUUAAGUCAUUUUCAAUUUUUCUUUUCGAAACGAAAAGCACACGUGAAAUUGAAAUGAAAGAUUUCCUGUAUAUACACGCAAACUACACGUACCGUCCAAAAGUCGUCCUAAAGAUGUUUAAUGCGACGGAGUUUA